Molecule: long non-coding RNA, 904 nt
Organism: Erinaceus europaeus (western European hedgehog)
Lineage: Eukaryota; Metazoa; Chordata; Mammalia; Eulipotyphla; Erinaceidae
Exons: 4
Source: RefSeq, a predicted model, not a curated record
CUCUUGGCAAGAGAAAGGCUCUUGGAAACCAGUGUCAGAGCUCCAGAGCAGCAUGAGAAGCCAGGCAGGGCUGACCAGAGCAGGUGAAUUUCCCCAGCUGACAACAAGCGCCCCAGGCAGCUGGGGGCCAGCUCCCAGUAGCUUAGCAACCUGCAGGGCGCAGCUCCUCCCGCCUCCACCCACACUCCACACUCCCAACUCUCCCCAACUACUUUUUUUUUUUCCUCAACUCCUGGCUUCUAGAAAAAUCACAGCGUCCCAAGAGAGGACAGUUAUUAAAUCUCCUCCUUCUUCUCUUCCUCCUCCUCCUCCUUCUCCUCCUCCCUUCUGAGCACCUGCCAGGCUGUCUUCCAACGGAGAAGAGCGCAGAGGUGGGAAGCUGGGGGCUCGAACCAGGAUCCUGCGCGAGUCCUUUGCGCUUUGUACUACGUGCGCUUAACCCGGCGGGCGCACUACCGCCCAGGCCCCACCUGUGUUCCUUUUACAAGGCCUGAGCCCGUCCUGAGCUCCGAGACACCCACACAACACAGCAAGUACACCUGUCACCUGCCUUCUAGGAGCCACACUACCGAACCUUCUGGGUACACAGGCUCUUUCCACUGUUUACAUAAUCUUCCCAAAGAUUAAGGAUGAAGUCACAGCCUAACUAAGGCUACUAGGAAGAAGGUGCUUUCCUCCUCCUGCUGCAGAGAACAAAGCACCUUGCUGGCACCUCAGCAAGGUGCUUUGUUUAAUGGCUUUGGAGCAUCAGGAUCAUCGUCUGACCUCUGUGCAUCACUGGCCUGCCUGACCCCAGUGGCAAGGACCACUGAACGGAGCACAGAGGAAGACGGCGAGCAGUGGCAACAGUAACAACUACAAGGGCAACAAAAUGGGAAAAAUACCCUCCAGAAGCAAUGGAUUC